Molecule: long non-coding RNA, 7471 nt
Filed under: Nicotiana benthamiana
Lineage: Eukaryota; Viridiplantae; Streptophyta; Magnoliopsida; Solanales; Solanaceae
Description: long non-coding RNA (NBEN_LNC012236)
Source: RNAcentral
CGAUGGAGAAGACAGUAGAGAGGGCUGAAAAAUUGAAGGGCGCAGCUGGGGCUGCUUCUUCUGAAAAAUACAAAAACACAAUACACAGAUACACGGGAGACGCUGGGAAUUGAAGAAGCUGCGCAGCUUUGGCUGCUGCUUCACAUACAACACACGCUGAUACACAACAGAAGAGAAGCGGCGCAGCUUUUGAAGACAACCCUCACAGGACCAGCGACGCAACACCAGAGAAACGACCCCAGCCCCCUUUCCCGUAUUCUUCAAACCCCCCUGGUUCUGUAACGUUCGACGGUCCCAAACGACCCCUGCUGUUUCUUCCAUUUUUUCCAUUCAGGACAGCACCGGUAAACACGCACACACGUACAACUGACUGGGAAUACAGCAGAAACAGUGACAAUACAUGAGAGUUUUCCAGUCGUCGAGCCGUUGAGGUCGUCACCGAAGUUCCGCUCAUCGAUCUCUGUUCGUUUCCAAAUCUGUUUGCUUCCGCCUGAGCUAAUCUUUUGCUGGCUUAUGCUGCUUGUGUAAUUGCUGAACACUUCCGCUAAAUUGGAAGCUUGAUUUUCAGGUUCAUAAUCUAUUUUUCCCAUAUUAUUUAAUUUUGUUAGAUUUCCGUUACCUGUACUCUGUUUUACUUUCAUGCCUAAGGUCCGAAUUUGUUUUGCUUGGAGAUAUUGGGAUUGCCAUGUGAUGUGAUUUUUGUGAUGACUGAGUUAGUGUUCAGAUCCGUCCAGCCUCACAUGAAUAUACCGCAUGUUUGAUUGGUUUUCUUGGUUGAAUUUCAAUUGAGUCGAGUUUGAAGUUGUCCUAACUCACUUGUCGAUGUAGAUGUUAGUGGUAAAACGACUUACUGCUUGUAUUGAGGAAACAUUAGUUUUAGAAAAAAACCUUGCUUCUUCAAUGAAUGAUAGUGUAUUUUGUUUCAUCCCUGUAUUGAGGAAACAUUAGUUUUGGAAAACAACCUUGCUGCUUGAAUGAUUGAGAGUGUAUUUUCUUUCAUCCGUGUAUUUGCUGUAAUCUUCGUUAAUUAAAGACCAUCGAAGGUUCAGUUCUUCUUUCCUCUUAAUGUAGUCUUUAAUUAUUUGUGAAUACAAGUAAAAUGGAAGUUGUUUGAAUUAGUUGGUCUGUUCGCUUUAUAUGUUAUCGCCUCAGCUAUUUGGAUUAGAACUUGGUUUUUGAUCCAUGUAUUGUUGGUUCAAGGAGGACUCUUGUGAUUCCUGAUUGAAUCUGGAUCCUUUUAGGUUUGUGUUUUUCUGUCGUUGAGCUCCUGAGUUGUUGUUGCUUCGCUAAAUGCGUUUACAUGAUUCAAUGGGAAGUUACUGAGAUGUUCAUGUAAUAAUGUGCACAAAUGCUCACUGAUGAACACGCUGGAUUUCUGUUCCAUUUUGAGCGGAUUUGUCACCAGUUCUCAAACUUUCAUUGGCAUAUUUGUUGUAUCUCUCGCUCAGCAACAGAGAACAACGGAGGGAGCUUCCAUUUUCUUCACAACGCUUGAACCUCAACUACAACCUAGCUGCAAAACAGAGUGCCUGAGCUCCAGCUUCAAAAUUUAUACCUUAUUCAGUCACUCUUCUGUUGAUUUUGUUUAAGGUAUGCCAUACUCAUCUAUGACCCUUUGUCCAAUUCAUAAUUGAAAGAAUAUGAAUUUAUUCGUGUUACUGGAUUGUUUGAUUUCGUGGAGCCCUCACGUUCAGCUUUUAAAGUUGUUUACUGAUGUUCUCUUUGGCAUUUACUGCCACAUGUGUGUUUGAAUAACCAAUCAUUUCAAGUUUUGAACUUAUGAUAUUUGGUUGGGAUUUGAUGAAAUAGUGUUAUUAUUAUGAUAGUUUAAUUACAUCGAUGGGCGGAUCUACAUAUAAAAUUUGGGUGCUCGAGCACCCAUUAAUCUCGACCCCGAACACGUAUAAUUAUAUAAAAAAUUUAAAAAAUCGGAUAUAACAAAAUAGCAAGCAUCCAGAUAACAAAAGGCUUGGUGGGUGUGUUGGUUAUGAUGGAUGUUGAAGGGCUCUAAAUGAGUAUAUAGUCGAGAGAUCGAAUCUCACUCACGCCCCUAGCUAGACUUUUUCCUCCAUUUAUCAAGCACUANNNNNNNNNNNNNNNNNNNNNNNNNNNNNNNNNNNNNNNNNNNNNNNNNNNNNNNNNNNNNNNNNNNNNNNNNNNNNNNNNUUUUUGCUCCAAUUAAAAAAGUUAAGCACCCACGAACUCAAAAUCCUGGAUCCGCCAUUGAUUACAUCACAUGUAAACUUUAUGUCUCAAUUUGUUUUGGACCAUAUGAAUAUUUGUUAGUGUUUUUUUGGCAUUGUAAGAAUCCUGAACUUGAAGUUAGUUUCGGCUAUAUUUGUACAAGAUCAAAGAGGUCAUUUUGUAUAUUAAAAAUGGAGAACAAUUUGAGUACCAAUAUUAUGUAUCUGAUGCAAUUAAAUGGCUACUGUAAUGAAUAUAUUGGAUAUGAUUUCCCUUUUCUAAUAUUAAAAUACAUUAAUGGUACUAUGACCAUGUAUGCAAAGGCACUAAAUCUGAAAAUCGAGAUGCUAGUGCUUUGUUUGCAAACCCGAUUUUGAAUUGGCCCAUUUGGAUACUGAUAAUGAUUAAGCCGAACACUAACCUUAGUUCUAGAUUAUGGAAUAAUCUCAAACUGAGAAAGAAUUAAUUCAAGAACGUCGUAGUCUUGUUUUAGUUAAAUAAUAAAAUCUUUUGAAAUAAUUUGAGGUGCGCUGUGCCAAAUGAGAUCUCAAAUUCAUGGCCAUCACUAGGAAGGAAAAGAAUCUUGUUGAUUUAGUUGUUGUAAAGCUAUUGGAAAGCUAGCAUACCCUGGAUUACGGGCAAGCUGAGAAAAGGUUUGUCUUAUUGUUUAUCCUACACUCUCAAUAGAAUGAAUUAGGUUGUUUGAAUUCGUUUGAAUCAAUAUGCAAAACGUGUUAGAUCAUAUCAAAAGGGAUAUUGGAUUGAUUAUAUUGGCACGAACCUAUUUAAUUAUGUUAGAUUGGAAUUGAAUAAAUGGAGGUGUGCCGUGGCGAACAAAAAUCUCAAAUGCAAGGCCCUCGUUUAAAUUAUUCUUGUUUAUCCUUAGAUUCUGAAGAGUGCCGUUCAAAUGGAAGGCCUUCGUUUAAAUUAUUCUUGUUUAUCCUUAGAUUACGAGGCGUGCCAUUUAGCGAAUUCCAUGGCCCUCGCAAAGUGCGAAUGCGUAGUUGCUUUAGGGGUGUGUUUAAUAACAUUACUUUUCUAAAUUCGGGUGUAUAUUUAUGUGACCCAAGUCCAAAUCUCAACGAAGUUGAAAUGUGUUAAAAUCCACAUGUGCAUUUAUUUGACGUGGUUCGAGACAUGUUUUAACGACGUUGCAAUUUUCUCUAAAAAUAAUGAUAAAAGCGGUUUAAAGUCAAAAAGCAUAUAAGUUAAAACAUGUUCUAAAAUCAGAUAAUUUAAGCCAAAUAUAACAGUUGAGCGACCGUGUUAGAACCAUAGAACCAGGGAAUGCCUAACACCUUCUCUCGGGUUAACAAAAUUCCUUACUCGGAUUUUUGGUUCGCGGACUGUUAAACAGAGUCAUUCUUUCCUCGAUUCGGGAUUCUAAACGGUGACUUGGCACACCAUAAAUCUCCCAAGUGGCGAUUCUGAAAUUCUCUUAAAUAAUUGAAUCCCGUUUCGAUUGUCCUUUAAUUGGAAAGACUCCCUUAUCUUCGCCCUUCGCCAGGUUGUAGUAGCAAAAAGGAGGUGUGACAACUACCAUAUUAUCAUGCUUAUAGUUAUAGCAAGAUACAUAUGUGCACAAAUUGUACUUAGAAUGUGGUACCCAAGAAUUGUAUAUUUGUAUAUACUUUAAGCGAUUUAAAUCCUUAAGAGAUUGUCAUAUAAAUUAAGUCAUAUAAGCCAUAUAAAUAGACUUUAAAUACAUAUCAAUUUUUUAUGUCAUGCUAGACAAGUAAAAUAGAUAAAAGUGAUUGCAUCCACCAUUGACUUAUAUUUUCAAGUGUUUGAACUGCAGGUUCAAAACAAUAUAUCUUUCAUAUGAAACCAAUUCUACUUGAAUCAUUCCGGACUUAAGAUCCUCAUAUAUGUAUUUUAGCGCUAUCAUAGAUGUCGUCUACGAACAAUUUAUAUCGGUUUCAAUCUCCUUAUUUUUCAUAAAGAUAUAACAUAGAGAUCUCUUCAUUCAUAUUUCAAGUACCUAAAUCUCACGUGAGAUUUUAUGAAGUGUUAUGUCAUGUGAUCUUCUAGAUCACUUGCCUCCUUUAUUAUGUUGAUUUGCUCAUCUUCUUUAUCAAGAAGUUUAUUUGAAAUCGAUUUGUCUCGCUUUAAGCGUACUAUAGACGCUGUCUUUCUAGGACUUAAUAGGAGCAUUUGCAAUGAGAAUAUAAUUAUUUUCAUUGGGUCAACAAAUUCGUUUGGCUUUCUUUGCAAUAUAUUGCAAAUGAAUUAUCUUUUUUUAAACUUCAAGUCAUAUUGUUUUAUUCGAGGAUCUACAUGUCCAAAUGAUAAUUCAUUCUACGUAACAUUUUCUCAACUAUUUAUCAUGUCUCUUCCUCGGGUUAGAAAAACUAACUUGCUUCUUCAACUUUAAAAUUCACGUUUUGCGUUAUGGUGUUGACUAGAAUAUACAUCACAGAUCAAUAAUAAUAAGAUAAAAUUAUUUGGUUCCUAACCCUGAACCACUUGUGAUAGGAUAAUGUAAUAUACUUUCAUAUAUAAUCUAUAUCAAACUGAUAUAGAUAACUUUAUUAUCAUAAGCAACAAUGUAGCUAUUAAGUGGAUGCACUCAAUAAAUUAUUUUGCUAAACCAACAGCGACGUAAUUUACCUUAUCAAGAUGAACUGUCUUGAAUAAAAAAUAUAGAAAAUAUGCUCGAAGUUAAAAAUUGAGCAAGUUACCUCGCAAAUAUCAAGUUGUGGGUUAAUACUAAUCGCACGUGUAACCAUCUCAUAGAUGCAUCUUACGCGGUAUACAUGGCAGGUGAAUGAGCCCAUAUAUUCACCUUUGAUGUUUUCAGUAUUCAUGGAAUUCAAUCCCAAUAUUAAUUAACUAAUGAGAACAAGCAAUGUAAGAUAAUUUGUAAAGAACUUUCUAAUUCUUGAAUAUUUACCCAUGUGAAUUCUUUUUUUGUGUGCACAUAUACUUAAAUUAACAUGACUAAAUCAAUUAUGCCAACUAGAUAAAUUAUCAACAUUGAUAAACUUCAGGUUUACACCAUGACGUGUGCGAUUAUUAAUAAACUCCAAGUUUAUUAUGAUAUGAGUUUUUAUAUCAAUAAACUUCUACUUUAUUGUGGCAUUCUUUUAUUUGUGUAGUACAAAUUGAAAAAUAAAGAGGGUAACUUUUGACAUACAUAUUAUCCCGCUAUAAGUUGUAGUAAUAAAAGAUAUUAAAUCUUUCCUUUAUUUAUAGUUUCAAUAUAACCAACCGCUUUCGCGAAUACUUUAGAAAAUCAAUUAAGUUUAUUUGAGGCUUACUACGUCACAAUACUUUAUGGAUAAAUUCAAUUUAUUUCUUCAAGAUAAUAUAAUUAUUUAUUUCAGAGCUUUCAGUUAAUUUUGUACUACCACAUAUUCAUCAACAACCACAUGAUGAAUAUCUCUUUCAAGGAGAAAGUUAGACCAUUAUGGUCAUAGUCAAAAUUAUUAUAGGUAAGAUAUAUUUUUUCUAUUACUUUUGCCCUCUAAUAAUAGUAAUAUUGCCAUAAUAUUUUGGGCAUAAUCACAAUAGGUAUGUUAUCAAUGUCCAUUCAUGCCAUAAUAAUGAAAUUAUUUUCUUAUGUCAUCUCAAACCUCCUCUUAGAGGUGAGUGUGGUAUAUUUAUUACCACUAGCACAUUCAUAUUCUUCCAAUAAUAAAUAUGUAUUCAUAAAUCAGGUGGUGUCACAUUCACAUCAUGAAUGGACCGUAGUCAUUUGUAUGUGCAUUACGAAAUCUCAUGUCAAAGCAAUGACAAACAUUAAUUUCACAGAGUGAAAGCUUAUUUUGAGAAUCCUUAUUAUUCUCAUUACCAUAAUGAUGACGAUUAUAAUUUCGUCUAUUGCCACGUUCAUAUCUGUUGAUACUUUUACAGUAAUAAUUUCAUCUUCUUUUAGACUUAUUACAUAUUGCUACCACAUUCUCUUAAGAAAAUGUGAAUGAAUCAAAUUCAAUGGGACGUGUUUUCACUUCUUUGCCACAAUCAUACAUGAAUUUGAUCAUGAUAAUGCAUAUGAAUUUUGCCACUUCAGGUGGUUAUAGUUUCUUACGAGCUCUAUUAGAGUUAUAGUCAAAAUUUAUUGUUUUGCUUGUAUUUAAAAUCAAAUUAUAAAAUUUCAAGAGUUUAGAAGCGAAAAAUAUGGUAAAAUACAUACUUUCAAUCCAUAAUUUAUUCGUGAAGGAAGUUCAUGAAACAAUUGAUAAUCAUUAUGUUCAAUAUUAUAUACAUGUUGAGCACCAUGCACAUAUUCCAAAGUCUGGUGACCAAAGUAGAUGCCUCUACUCAAUUAGUUAGAGUCUUGUGCUGAUAACGUGUUAUGAAACAAUAAAAGAAGAAGAAGAGUAUUGUAGAGAAAAGUAGAGAAAAUUCUUAUUGAAUAUGUAUCAAUUACAAUGGAAUAGAACCCCUCUACUUAUAGGGAAAAAUUGACCACCAAGUAACAAAUCCUAAAAUAUCUCUAAACUAUAGACAUUCACGUCAAAUAAAAUUCUAUUUAUAACAGAUCAUGCUUAUUGUAUUUUAAAAUAAAAAUCAUCACAUCCACAAACCUCAUAAUGCGAUUAGCAUGCACUUCUUCGGCUACAUCAGUCAUGUUUAUAGUCGUCAAUAUGGGCUUGGCCCGUUUGACCAUCCCAGCCCAACCCAAUCAACAUGUAAUUUAGUAGGGCUGUGCUAGAAUUUUUGAAGCCCAUUUAAAUAUGAGGCUAUUAAGCCCAGCCCGAGUAAGUGCGUAGCCCAUGAGGCUUGAGUGAGGCUGGGUUUAGCCGGCCCGUGGGCCUAAUAAAAAUACAACAGCAACAACAAUAACAACCAAGUAUAAUCCCACUUAGUGGGGUCUGGGUAAGGUAGUGUGUACGCAGGCCUUACCCCUACCCUAGGGUAGAGAGGCUGUUUCCAAAUAGAUACUUGACAUCCUUCCCUCCAAGAACUUCCCACCUUGCUCUUGGGGAGUGCUCUUGGGGAGACUCGUUCUCACAACCUCUUGGUUGGAAGUGGAGGUUUCUUACCAUCAGAGCAACCCCUCUUGUCUAAAAAUACGUAGUUAAAAUGUAUAAAAUAUAGAAGUAUAUGUACAAAAAUAACAUGAAAAAUAUCGCAACCUUAAAGUUUAUUAAGCUCAUCAUAUUAAAAGAUCAAUGUCUUAAAAUGUUAAUUAGUGUUAAAAUUUUAAUUAUUCUUAAUAUUUAACUAAUUAAUAUUGCAUAUGAAUUGUAGAUGUAGAUGAAAGUGAAGAUGUUAAGACAACCUUCCACAAGCGGAUUCAAAUGUGUUUGAUGAAGAUGAUGUGUUGGAUAUCCCAUAAGUG